RNAcentral lists this ribosomal RNA (500 nucleotides) under uncultured bacterium. RNAcentral describes it as "partial 16S ribosomal RNA". It matches the Rfam family "Bacterial small subunit ribosomal RNA", at positions 30 to 523 of the family's 1533-position model. The record is from RNAcentral.
AUUGAACGCUGGCGGAAUGCUUUACACAUGCAAGUCGAACGGCAGCACGGACUUCGGUCUGGUGGCGAGUGGCGAACGGGUGAGUAAUGUGUCGGAACGUGCCCAGUCGUGGGGGAUAACGUAGUGAAAAUUACGCUAAUACCGCAUACGAUCUAUGGAUGAAAGCGGGGGAUCGCAAGACCUCGCGCGAUUGGAGGGGCCGAUAUCAGAUUAGGUAGUUGGUGGGGUAAAGGCCCACCAAGCCAACGAUCUGUAGCUGGUCUGAGAGGACGACCAGCCACACUGGAACUGAGACACGGUCCAGACUCCUACGGGAGGCAGCAGUGGGUAAUUUUGGACAAUGGGCGAAAGCCUGAUCCAGCCAUUCCGCGUGCAGGAUGAAGGCCCUCGGGUUGUAAACUGCUUUUGUACAGAACGAAAAGGUUUCUACUAAUACUAGGAGCUCAUGACGGUACUGUAAGAAUAAGCACCGGCUAACUACGUGCCAGCCGCCGCGGUAA